Molecule: long non-coding RNA, 418 nt
Filed under: Homo sapiens (human)
Lineage: Eukaryota; Metazoa; Chordata; Mammalia; Primates; Hominidae
Description: long non-coding RNA NONHSAT161576
Source: RNAcentral
GACCUCUGAAACACUACACCAGAGUAAAUAAAUGCCCUUGCAUCCUCCAGUUCUUCCUGGAAUCCCGCACCCUCUUCCUGAUUUGAAUGGAAACUCACUCUUACACAAGGGCAUCCUGGAAUCCCGCACCCUCUUCCUGAUUUGAAUGGAAACUCACUCUUACACAAGGGCAUCCUGGAAUCCCGCACCCUCUUCCUGAUUUGAAUGGAAACUCACUCUUACACAAGGGCAUCCUGGAAUCCCGCACUCUCUUCCUGAUUUGAAUGGAAACUCACUCUUACAUGAGGGCACGGCUUCACCUGCUUUGUCUCUUCUGAGGGAUGCUCAUUCUCCCAUCCCCAGUGCCAGCCAAAGAAGUAGCCCCGACAAACAACUUUAAAGUUUCCCAGUUCUGCUUCCAAGCCGUACACUGUUCCAG